Long non-coding RNA from Mauremys mutica (yellowpond turtle), 1733 nucleotides. RefSeq lists it as uncharacterized. The transcript is spliced from 3 exons. Lineage: Eukaryota; Metazoa; Chordata; Testudines; Geoemydidae. The record is from RefSeq and is a predicted model, not a curated record.
UACACUUUCAAAAUUACACAAUAAAACAAGGUUCACAAUAUUGCAGCUGGGCUCCUACUUUACUUCACUUCACUUCACUUCACUUAAUUCUUAUAUAUCACUGACUGACUGGUGACACCCAACCCCUUAUAUACCCAUGAGGGCAUGGCUGACAACAUUCUAGGAGGUUUGAGGAAAAUAUAGUUCUCAGAAAAUUUGGAAGGUUCCACGAGAUUCUACAAAGGUCCAGAACACUCUAGAAGGUUAGUGAAAAAUGAAUCCACAUAUGGAAUACCUGAAACAUUUUACUUCAAACAUUCUAUUUUCCCUUUUGUCGCUAACAACAAAAACAGCACCCAGUGAUGGGGUGACUAAAUCCCACAAGGUAAUGCAGGCCAGAUGGGUCAAUUAACCCAUUAGGUAGCUGAUUAAGUAGGCUCAGCUGGACAGGAAUAGAUGGAGCCUAUAAAGCCCAGGAGCUGAAGCAGAAGGAGACUCUGGGAAAAGGCAGACAUUCCCAGGAGAAAGAGAACAGUGAGUGGAGACUGCAAAUGAUAGUCAAUCCCUGGGAGGAGGCUUUUGGGAACUGGUAGGCCUAGGAAGAAAAGGGGAACCAGUAGUAGGAAGCAGCCCAGGGAUAGAGCACUGAGGCCAGAGAGAGAAGGCCCAGACUUCUGAGAUGAGGGUCUCUGGUCUGGAACCCAGAGAAGAGGGCAGGCCCAGGUUUCCCUACCAGUCACUGGGCAAGUGGCACAGCCAGUGAGCAGGAAGACUGCCUAGGACUUCUUAGGAGCUAAACCUCCCCCCAGAAUGGGGGAACAUGGACAGCGACACAGCUGGAGGGCCGAGCCAUGAAGAAGACACUGCGGUUCCUGAGGCUGCAAGAGAGGGGCUGCAAAUGGACAGCAGAGACAGAGUGACAAGAUGCAAACCACAGAGAUGGGGGAUGUUGGCCUCAAGCUAAUCCCCAGAGUACCAGGAAGAGGUGCCAGACUGGUGGUGCCCGUACCUCUGAAGAGAGAUGGCCUCACACCAACCUUCCUCCCAUGGAGGACAAGAGAUCCAGAUUGAUGGCCUGUGCAAGUGUUCUGGGCAGCAGAUGAAAUACGCUAGAAAAAGUCUUUGGAAAAGCUCAGCUGCAGGUGCCAUCGACUGCAGUAGCCUGCCACGAGCUUCAUAUCAUCAUUCAGGACCGUGUCAAUUUCUGAGAAGGACUGAGCUUGGAAGCUACAGCAGAUAUUGUCAGCACAGAUAAACUUGUGCGAGAGUGUUGCUGGCAAGUCAUUGAUGUACACAUUGAACAGUAUUGGUGAAAGAACUGAACCUUGAGGAGGACCGUUAAUCUGACACUUCCAGGAACUGCAAUGGUCACCCAUGUGUGUUCUGAACUGCCUAUUUUGGAAGAAGAGCUCUAUUAUUUCGAUCACCCAACGUGGGGCAAUUUGAGAGAGUUUACACAGAAGGCCUCUGUGCCAAACCAUGUCAUAAGCGGCAGUCAAAUCCAGGAAAAUGGCACCUUGUCUUUAGAUUUUGUUGAAAACCAUUUUCAAUAAAGGUGGUCAAGGCAAAGAUUUUAUCUCACGUGCUACGUCCUUUCGUGAAGCCUGCCUGCUCAACCUGCAAGACAUCGUUCAACUCCAGAGCAAUUUGUUGGAAGAGCAAUCGGGCAAACACCUUAAAACACACUGACAGCGAGGAUAUUGGGUGGUAAUUCACCACAUUAAGGGGGUCCUUGACCAGCUUGAGAAUGGCAA